GACGAACGCUGGCGGCGUGCUUAACACAUGCAAGUCGAACGGUGAAGGGACCGGUUUUUGCUGGUUCUGGAUGAGUGGCGAACGGGUGAGUAACACGUGAGUAACCUGCCCCCUUCUUCUGGAUAACCGCAUGAAAGUGUGGCUAAUACGGGAUAUUCUGCGCCUGCUGCAUGGUGGGUGUGGGAAAGAUAUUGUUUCGGUGGGGGAUGGGCUCGCGGCCUAUCAGCUUGUUGGUGGGGUGAUGGCCUACCAAGGCGGUGACGGGUAGCCGGCCUGAGAGGGUGGACGGUCACACUGGGACUGAGACACGGCCCAGACUCCUACGGGAGGCAGCAGUGGGGAAUAUUGCACAAUGGGCGCAAGCCUGAUGCAGCGACGCCGCGUGAGGGAUGGAGGCCUUCGGGUUGUAAACCUCUUUCGCCAGUGAAGCAGGCCUGUCCCUUUUGUGGGUGGGUUGACGGUAGCUGGAUAAAAAGCGCCGGCUAACUA
Molecule: ribosomal RNA, 489 nt
Filed under: uncultured bacterium
Lineage: Bacteria
Description: partial 16S ribosomal RNA
Rfam family: Bacterial small subunit ribosomal RNA
Source: RNAcentral